GCUGUCUGCGUCUGGUUCCUUCCCGCAGCAGGGGGACUGAAGCCCCAGCCCACAGCUCUGUGGGCUUUGGGGGUGCUGGAGCCCCAUACCCCGAGAAUGGCUGAAGCCACAAGCCUCACAACCCAAAGGGGCUGGAGCCCUAUGCCCUGAGGGUCGCUGAAGCCCUGAGCCCAGCAUCCUGAGAUGGGCUGAAGCCCAAAGGCCCCAUCCCUGAGCCUAUGUUUGAAAAUAGAGAUCCCCCACCAAAUAUUUCAAUAAAUCAUAUAUUCUGAUAUUGUUUAACAGUAUGAUUAAAACUGCAAUUAAUUUUGAAAUCACCUGACAGUCCUAUUUGCUAGUGAGUGAGACUCAUAAACCUUCAUCAAACCCCUUAACUGUGGCUUAUUCCAUUUUUCUCUUCCAAGAACACUGAGGUGCCCCGGUGCCAUGCAGCGAAUUACAUCAAGGACUGGGACUUUUCUCUGCAGCCUCCUGCUUUUUAAACGAUGUGCAUGUCUCAGUUCAAACCUUCAGACUUGCAGCGUCAUUUCGCUUCUAGCCAGGCACAUAUCGAUCAAGAAUUCCCACCAGGCUCUGAACUCUGCACUUCGCAACUGAAAACUUUGAAAAAACAAACAGAUGUAGAAGCCCAGUUCUGUGUGAAUUCCGUCUGUCUGUCUCCUGUUCGGCACCGUUUCCCAUCAGCCUUUCCUCAGCAAGCACUUAGACAAUGAAGAACUGCCAAGGGACAUGGCCCCUGGCAGGAACGUGAAGGUUGACUGCUGCUUUAACAACAGCACCUGCUCAGCUGACAGGCCUAAGGAGGCAAAAGUCUCACUGGGGCAGCACGG
This 830-nucleotide long non-coding RNA is filed under the name Gopherus agassizii (Agassiz's desert tortoise). RNAcentral's name for it is "lncRNA (ENSGAGG00000018306.1)". The record is from RNAcentral. Lineage: Eukaryota; Metazoa; Chordata; Testudines; Testudinidae.